Molecule: ribosomal RNA, 253 nt
Filed under: uncultured bacterium
Lineage: Bacteria
Description: partial 16S ribosomal RNA
Rfam family: Bacterial small subunit ribosomal RNA
Source: RNAcentral
UACGUAGGGGGCAAGCGUUGUCCGGAAUUAUUGGGCGUAAAGAGCUCGUAGGCGGUUUGUCGCGUCGGCUGUGAAAACUCGGGGCUCAACCCCGAGCCUGCAGUCGAUACGGGCAGACUAGAGUGCUGUAGGGGAGACUGGAAUUCCUGGUGUAGCGGUGAAAUGCGCAGAUAUCAGGAGGAACACCGGUGGCGAAGGCGGGUCUCUGGGCAGUAACUGACGCUGAGGAGCGAAAGCGUGGGGAGCGAACAGG